GGACGAACGCUGGCGGCGGGCCUAAUACAUGCAAGUCGAACGCACUCGACCUUCGGGUCACAUGAGUGAGUGGCGAACGGGUGAGUAACACGUGAGAAACCUGCCCCGAAGACUGGAAUAACCCGAGGAAACUCGGGCUAAUACCGGAUGCCCCCAACUGAUCGCAUGAUCAGUUGAGGAAAUGCUCCGGUGCUUUGGGAGGGUCUCGCGGCCUAUCAGCUAGUUGGUGGGGUAAUGGCCUACCAAGGCAUCGACGGGUAGCUGGUCUGAGAGGACGAUCAGCCACACUGGGACUGAGAUACGGCCCAGACUCCUACGGGAGGCAGCAGUAGGGAAUAUUGCGCAAUGGGCGAAAGCCUGACGCAGCAACGCCGCGUGAGCGAUGAAGGCCUUCGGGUCGUAAAGCUCUGUCAGGUGAGAAGAAUACCAGCCGGUGGAUAAUAUCGGUUGGCUGACGGUACCACCAGAGGAAGCUCCGGCUAACUCCGUGCCAGCAGCCGCGGUAAUACGGAGGGAGCAAGCGUUGUUCGGAAUUACUGGGCGUAAAGGGCGCGCAGGCGGUUUGGUAAGUCAGAUGUGAAAUUCACCGGCUCAACCGGUCGAACUGCAUCCGAUACUGCCAGACUUGAGAUCAGUAGAGGAGAGUGGAAUUCCCAGUGUAGCGGUGGAAUGCGUAGAUAUUGGGAAGAACACCGGUGGCGAAGGCGACUCUCUGGACUGAUUCUGACGCUGAGGCGCGAAAGCUAGGGGAGCAAACAGGAUUAGAUACCCUGGUAGUCCUAGCCGUAAACGAUGAAUACUAGGUGUUGGGUGUUUCCAUGCAUUCAGUGCCGAAGCUAACGCAUUAAGUAUUCCGCCUGGGGAGUACGGCCGCAAGGCUGAAACUCAAAGGAAUUGACGGGGGCCCGCACAAGCGGUGGAGCAUGUGGUUUAAUUCGAAGCAACGCGAAGAACCUUACCCGGAUUUGACAUAUAUGUGCAAUACCUAGAGAUAGGCGCCUCCUUCGGGACGCAUAUACAGGUGCUGCAUGGCUGUCGUCAGCUCGUGUCGUGAGAUGUUGGGUUAAGUCCCGCAACGAGCGCAACCCUUGUCCUUUGUUGCUAACAGGUAAUGCUGAGGACUCUAAGGAGACCGCCGGCGAUAAGCUGGAGGAAGGUGGGGACGACGUCAAGUCAUCAUGGCCCUUACAUCCGGGGCUACACACGUGCUACAAUGGUGCAUACAGAGGGUUGCCAAACCGUGAGGCUGAGCUAAUCCCAAAAAGCUUGUCCAAGUUCGGAUUGGAGUCUGCAACUCGACUCCAUGAAGUUGGAAUCGCUAGUAAUCGCGUAUCAGCUACGCCGCGGUGAAUACGUUCCCGGGCCUUGUACACACCGCCCGUCAAGG
This 1387-nucleotide ribosomal RNA is filed under the name uncultured prokaryote. RNAcentral's name for it is "partial 16S ribosomal RNA". It matches the Rfam family "Bacterial small subunit ribosomal RNA", at positions 27 to 1402 of the family's 1533-position model. The record is from RNAcentral.